AUGGCGCAAGUGGCUUCCCGCAGCAGAAUUCUGGUACAACUCCGCUCACCACUCCUCGCUCAAGUGUUCGCCGUUCAAGGCGCUGUACGGCAAGGAACCGAACCUGGGCGGCCUGCCGCACCUGAGCUCCUCCCUGCAAGAUCAAGCGGCCUCGCCCGAACUGGACUGGACAUCGCACACCGAGAUGCUGCGCGCACAGCUUGCGCGCGCCCAAGCUCGUUUCAAGAAGCAAGCCGAUCGCCACCGCGCAGAACGCGCCUUCGACGUCGGCGAACAGGUUCUCCUCAAGCUGCAGCCGUACGCGCAAUCAACAGUCGCCAACCGCCCGUGCCGCAAGCUCUCUACAAGUUCUCCGGUCCGUUUGAGGUGACAGAGCGGGUUGGCACCCUGGCAUAUCGCCUACAGUUGCCGCCGGACAGUCGCAUCCAUCCGGUAUUUCAUGUCUCUCAGCUCAAGCCUUUCACCCCAGGUUACACUCCAGUCUUCGCUGAGCUGCCACGAGUCCCAGAGCUCACUGGCGGUGAAACAGAGCCCGUGGCGAUUCUGGAGCGAAGGAUGAUGAAGAAAGGUGAUGCACCAGUGGUGCAACUCCGUGUCCAAUGGACAAACAUGCCACCUACAGCCACCACCUGGGAAGAUUAUGAUGUUCUUCGCCAGCGCUAUCCAGCAGCCGGCGUCUGGGACGGGGCUCCAUCUCAAGAGGAGGACAAUGUCACGCCUACUGAUGCAUCAGUAGCGGACUGA
This 744-nucleotide ribosomal RNA is filed under the name Triticum aestivum (bread wheat). RNAcentral describes it as "partial small subunit ribosomal RNA". The record is from RNAcentral. Lineage: Eukaryota; Viridiplantae; Streptophyta; Magnoliopsida; Poales; Poaceae.